RNAcentral lists this long non-coding RNA (3053 nucleotides) under Populus trichocarpa (black cottonwood). Its description in RNAcentral is "long non-coding RNA (PTRI_LNC000304)". Lineage: Eukaryota; Viridiplantae; Streptophyta; Magnoliopsida; Malpighiales; Salicaceae. The record is from RNAcentral.
GCAAAAACUUGUUCUCUGUUAAGGUGACAUAUCAAAGUUUGGUAUGUCAUGUGUAACAUAAAUGUCAUUCUCUUCCUGUUAGAUUUGUAUGUUGUUUGAUAAUGCAUAAACCCAGUCAAUCGCAAACCUUGCAUGUCAUAAGUAUUGAGACCCCUGCUUACCAAAAUCACCACCAUUGUCCAUGGUAGAGGAGACCGGGGACCAAGUGGGGGAUAGUACCCAUUGUUAGAAAACCAGAAAAUUCAGCAAUUCUAAUAACUUCAACAGGCAUUGCUCUUCCUGCCUUGCUUCUCAUGUUCGUUUUUUCUAGACUGGAAAGAGUUUAAUAAUGCUUACCAAAGAACAUUAUUUUCGGUCAGAAAGUGCAGUAAAUUACUCAUUGCUUGUUGUUCGAUGCUACCUACCAAUUUUACCGUCCUUAUCACUGUUAUAUAUGCCUAGCAUUUCACUGUAAUUCAUAUCCGAGUUGAACUCUCAGUUUCUUUCGUACGAGUAGUUUCCUUUAUUCAUAAUUUUUUUGGGUCUCCAUUGAUUGCUUGAGUUAUCUUUCGUGAGUUGUAAUCCAUUGCCAGAUUUUUACCUUUUCCUUUCUUCUCUGUCUUUUUUCAUUUUUUUUCGUCCUUUUUUUCAUUAUUUACUGCAGAAUUUUCCUCGAUGUUAUUUUUUUCGGGGAAAGUGAAUUUUCAUUCAUCCGCUGUCUCAUCAGUAUUUCUUGUAUUUGCAGUGCAUCUCCUUUUCUAUAAUGCGUUUUUUUUCUUAUAUGAUUAGGGAUGGACCAAGAUCAUACCAGUCAGCGUGCAACUUGCAAUGGCUUCUUGAGGAGACGUGGAGCGGAUAAAACGUAUGGAAUAAAGCUGGUUCGAGGUAAACUCUUUUUUCCUCUCAUCCACAUCGUAAUAAUAAUUUCUUUUAUAUUAUUAUUCAGAUGUUAUAUGGGACAGUUCUUGCGUAGAUGUCUUUAUUCUCGAAGCAAAUAAAAAAGGAUAAAUUAGAUUCUUGUUAUAUUUUAUUCUGUCUUAUUCUUUGAAAUCAACAUGUAUAUAAAUUUAUAUAUUGUUAACCAAGCCAUAUAUAAAUUGGUUUCAUACCAUCUCAAACCCAGCCGAACUGAGAAUUUUUAAAACUCGUGGGCUUGUGUGCUGACAAAAUAUCAUGCCCCUGUUGUCGAAGAACAAGAGAAAGAAAGAAAAGGCUGCAAUGACUUGUACUUGCUAAAUUUGAAAAAGAAGGAAAGCUACGGCUAUGAUGAAAUAACCCUUAAAAAAGAUGCUAUUGCUAUUAUAAUAAUAAUGAAUGACGCUCGUUGGAUUUUCCGAUACUCCAGGACUCUAUACACUUGAAAAGUAGAUAAAUUGGCCUUGAUCGGUAAACUAGCAUAUCUGUUGUUAUCGUGAUGGAUAUGUUGUCCUUGCCACCAUCAUAUGGAAUUUUUAUAUUGGCAUAUUAAAUACCACACGACACAUUACGAGCCUUGUGGUGGAGAAACCAUUUCGAAGAAAUUUGAAUUUUUUUUUAAGGUUAGGCCUCCCCUUUCAUUCUACCUCCACCGGAACAAGGCUUUUUUUUUUGCAAAUAAAUUACCUCCACUUGCUCAAGACAUGGUUCUUAACCACACCUUUAAUCUACAGGCCAAAGAUAAGUUGUUUAGCCUCCAAGACUAUCUUCUUCUUAACUAUGAUAUGUCUUUUUUUUGUUUUCUUUGAUUAGUAUAAAAAAAUAAGUUUUCUUUUAAAUAUAUUAUUUUGAUAUAUUUUUAAAUAAAAAAUAUUUUGAAAAACAAUUAUUACAGUAAUAAAAACAGACUCUAUAACCUUUUUUUUGUUAACAGUGGGUGUCCGGGCCAGCUUACGCGCACCUCGACUAAUCCUUCAAGACCCUGAAAUUAACGACUAUAUAAACCUUUAGUAGCCCUGAGGUUUGUGACACUCAAACUAGUGAUAUCUGAAAAGUAAAUUCAGAGUCUGAUCAAUUAAACUACACUCUUUUUUAACUUAAUUUCAAUAGACUCGUACAAGUUUUUGAUGCACCGAGUUUUUCCUUGUAUAAGGAAAAAAUACAUCAGCGGUUUGGUAAAUUGCAUUUCUUGAAUUAUUUUUCCAUGAAAAUGUUAUACUUGAAAAACUGUUCAGUUGUGAGGUUCUGAUAGCAUCCAUAUAACAGAAGUGUUCUUGAGAUCUUCUGUCAAAGAAUUUGAGGACAAAUCUGAGCUUAUCCAUUAAAGAAAUUGUAAAAAGAAAAGAAGAAAACACAUCAUCCACUAAAAGUUAUUGGAAAAGGGUAGCUCUCUCUCGAGAGUGAAAAUAGAUAGUCUCGAAGGCAAUGAUGAGAAGGCUUUCAGUCCGUGAUUGACGGUGUUAUUCAGUUAAGGUCGUUACUGUGUCACCAACCACCGAGAAAUAAUGUAAACAUUGACCAAAACAAUGGUGGUUGUUUUUGAAAUUAGAAACGAGGAGCCAGACAAUUAUUGUGCCCUUAUUCUUUUUUUUUUGCUUCGAAGACGCAACAAUAUAGUAUGAAACUGUUUGUUACAGUUGUAUUUUGUUUUUUAAAAUAAUUUUUUUUAUAUUUUUUAAAAUUUAUUUUUAAUAUUAAUGUAUUAAAAUAAUAUGAAGAUUUUUUUAAAAUAUUUUGUAAUAAAGAAAAAAUAUUAAAAUUUUUCAAAAAUAUUUUUGAAAUGUAAAAAUAAACUGUUUUAUAUGUGUGUGGACGUUUUUCCAAUUGUAAUUUGUAAGUGACUCCAUGGUGACUCAAAAGAGUUGUAAUAAAUAUGAAAUUUAUUUGUUAAAUCUUUUGCAGCAUUUUGUUUCCUCUUUCAACUCUAAACAGUAAAUUAGAGUUAGAAUGGAGACAGAGGCUUGGCAGAUUCGAUUUGGUGGCGAGCAGAAGGCAUUGAAUUGAACAGUAACAAUAAAUUACUAAAAUUAAAGUUCUUAUGAGAUUAAUUAAGAUGCACGCAAGUUAAUCCAUAAAAAAAAAUUACUACAAAGACUCUAAUCAAUGUGGUAUGAAAACUUUGUAUGCUUCCACUGUUCACCUUAUUAUAUUUUACCGUG